UUUUUUUUUUUUUUUUUUUUUUUUUAACCAGAACUGUUUCUGCUAGAGAAUUCACAUGCAAAUGGAGAUGUUGACUGGCACUUUUUCACAAGAAAGCUUGUUUUGUUGGUUUUCAGAACUGAUAAACUGAGUAGUAUAUCAAAGAGUAUUUUGAAAAGGAGAAUCUUAAUAUAUAAUAGUUCUUGAGGAGGAUGGUUACAGUAGUAAAACACAGAAAAAUGUAUUCUGUAUUUUGGACAAAUACAGAAUUCUCUAGGCAUCAAUAUUCCAUUCUUCUAAGCAAGAAUGAUACUAUUUAUUUAUAAUAAUAAUUAUCAUUAUUAUCUCCCUGAAAGCUAGCUGUGAGGCUAAAUCAUUACUAUUUUCAAAUUAUUUCAUAGUCCUUAACUAGAAUUUGCCCUGAGAGUACUAAAUAUAAUAAUUUUCUCUGUAUGCCCUAUUUAAUUUUCCUUUGGAAAAAAACCACAUUUAACGUGUUGUUCUCUUUACAUUUGUCUACGUAAAACAUUUUAAAAUUCCAGCUGUUGAGCUUUUCUGGAAGUUAAUAACAGGAAAGUCUGACAUUAUUGUAUUUAUUGCUUAUUUCUUGCUUUUUUGUCAUAGUCUUUUACCCCCACAUAGAUAUCUCAAUAUCAUUAUCAUCUGGGAGCUUGUUACUGCAUGCACAAAUAGAGAAAUUGAGACCUGCACUUGCUGUUUAUUUCCUUGCUUGAAUUUGGAAUUGACAAGUAACCACACCUUGUUUCUCUAAAGUCAGAGCUCUCUAUAUAUCCAUAUAUAUUUGUAGGUAUCUCAAAUAUAAAUCUUUUCUUUCUUUCUUCUGCAGUUUACCAGGUUCUGCAUUUAUUGGCAAGUGUGUAUCAGUUACUCACAACUGAAGAUACCCAGAUCCAUUUCCUCUAGUUGUUAUCUGUUGGAUAGCUAGAUUCUAAUGUCUGAAAUCUACAUCAACCAACAUAAAAGCCACAGGAUAUGACACUGGUAUCUUGUGGUUCCAAUCAGCCUCCUGGUAUUAUAGUAGUACUUUUAUUUAACUGUGUUUCUCCUGAGUUCAGCAUGCUCAGCCACACUGGCUGUUUUGCAUAGCAUCUGCACUGUACAUUGUGAUAAUUGAAAACUCAAUACAGCCCGGAGGCACACCAACAGGACAGCACAACAGCACAGGAGCAGGCUGGGGCAUAACUCAGAAGAAUAAGGCAGACAGGCAGCAGCAAGCAGGGCUGAGCCAGCCCCAACACAUCUCCAGCAGCAGCGGAGCUGGGUCAGGCAUCCAGCAGCUGGGGGUCCCAUGGCAUGUGGCAGCUCUGGGAGCAGCCAAUGCCCAGUGCAGUGCGUGGAUGUCCCUCCAUCUGCCAUCGUGGGGCUGUCAUCUGGGAGCACAGACCGCAGGCAGAGUCCGAGGCUCACCUGGAAAAUUACAGGGACAGAUCAAAUCCACAUUCAUGGCCAUGCACUCCACUGACAGCUCCCAUACUGCACAUGCCUUUCCCAGGGUGGUUCCUAUUCCAAAAAUGUCAUCUAGGCAUUAGCAGAGAAUAGGUGAGAUAUUUUUUCUAGUGUUUCAGAAGUGUAACAUAGAUCAAAAAAUGUCACUUUCUAUUUGAAUGCUCAUAAUUAGAAUUAAAGCAAAUGACUUAAAAUAAAUGACUGGAGUAAGCCACAGCAUUUCUUCCUAUUAGCCUAUGUAGAAAGAAAAAAAUAUGCCUGGAGUGUAAAAAGAAGAAAAGAAGAAAUAAUGAAAAAACAACAUGUGGCAUGAAGAAGAUAAAUAUUUCUUGCCUGUUGUCUUGGCUCUGUCUAUGAAGAUUUUGUCCAACAACCUCAGCCAAAACUAUUUAGUGAGUGAUUUUGUGUCUGGCUGAUGGAAGGCCCAGUUGUCUCAGGGCAGCUUUGCAGGGUUUCCAGGAAGCAGACAAGUAGGUCUCUGCAGUGGGAGUCACGAGCUUUUCGUGUCAGUAGCACAGCUGAGCGGAUGGGAGGGUUUGAAGGAGUGGCCCUACCUUGUAGCAGCACCCCCAGAAAGUUGCUGAUGUUUGAAUCUCUCCAUAGACUGAAGAUCAACAGCUUUCCAUGAGUCAUUUGGCGAGGAAGGAAGGAAGGUGGACUAGUCCAGGAAACUUAGGCUGUAGGACUGGGAAGAAGGGAAGGAAAAUGAAUCAGUGCUCCCAGAGGAGGCAGUCUGAAUCUACUCUGAUCCUAAAGCAAGAGAGUGGAAACAGGCGUUUAAGAGCAGUUCAUUUAUACAAGGCAUACUGAAUAUACCGAGCAAACUACUGAAGGAGGCAAUAAACCUGCAUCUUGGAGAAUGGUCUAAAAGGAGUUAGAUUGGCACUUCAGAGCAAAGAGAUAUUUGAGGCUGCAAAGGCAAGCAGCAGCACACGGAGACACAUGGACACAGCUCACGUGGCCCACGCUAUUGACGUGUUUUCCCUCCCCAGCCCAGCCUGCUGAGCUUGAUUACUUACAUCUUGUAUAACUUACAUAGUCUAAAGAGAGUCGGCCAAUUUCCACUCAAUUUAUAAUUUAGCAAGCAGAGGAGCUUGAUUCUUCUAAUUUACAUAAAACAUACAUAAAACUGAAAACAAAAUAGCUUUAGAGCAUAUGGGCAAAGUACACAAGAGCCACAGAGGAAAAGCAGGAGUGAAGAAGGAUACAGAGCAAAAGCACUGUCUGGAUUGUGCUCUGCUAAGGGGUUCUGAGUACCUUAUUUAUGCUAAAUAUUUCACAGACAUGCCAGUCUUCAUCAUCACAGACACGUGUUGGUGGACAAUCAGCACACAGAUGUACCUAACCUACGCCAUAACGCUGAAUAGGGCUUUUUUAUUGCAUCUUCUCUUUCUAGGUAAAGAAAUAUUGUUGAAAACCUUCUGCAACAAUAUGGCAAGACAGCAUCAGUGUAUAUGGAGGUAGAAUUGCCUUCCUCCCAUUCCCUCUUGGGCAUGUCCCUGUCUCACAAAGAAAGGAAGCUCUCGCCCUGUGGGUAAACCCAAGUCAGCAUUCCACUUCCUGGGGAGCAGCAGCGGGGCUGCGCUCUUGUGACCAUUUCUCCUGCAUUCCUCCUCCAGGACUGCCGAGUUCUGGCAGAGCCAGAGAAGGCAUUCUCUGAGAGGAGACACCACCUGCCAAGCGUGGAAGCUGGUAUUCCUCCCUUGGCAUGGUAGGCUCCAAAUCGUGCCUCUCUUCUCCAUUUGCCUGAGGAGUCAUCCUGGGUACUAACAAUAGACUCCAUGGAGGCUGGUGGAGCUCAGGCUGCCUCACCAACUUCUGUCUGAAUUCAGUCAUUUCCAGUGAGCAAUGUAUAAAUAGAUGCUGCCUCAUUAUUGAUGUAUAUUGUGCAAAGGGUUUAGCCAGGGAUGAAGCUUGCCUGCUUUCCUUUUAUGGAUGAAAAACGGGAUCCCAGAGCCUUUAUGUGAGAUCUCUGUGCAUGUCAAUCAAACCACACCAGGAGGAAGAUUCUGUGCUCUUAGGUCCAUGUUAAAUGGCAGCCGCAUGGCCACAAGUCCAUGGGAAAAAAAUGCGUAUGUGUUUAAGCACAUUUACAAAUAUGCACAACAAAACCAAAUGAAAAAAGAAUUCUGAUAGUUGCAGCCUAAUUUUUCUAUUCCUUUUCAAAUCCCAAGACUGGGCUGUAGUCUGGGCCACUCUGACACAAAUCUCAUUUGACAUCGUUAUAAACCACUGAUUUACACUAAUGGAAGAGUUAGCCUCUGAUUUAGGAAGCAGACCUUAGCAGCUGGCCCAAGCCUGAGCAUCUCAGCCCUGCAGUCUGGCUGUAGCACAUUGAUACUUGCCAGCUAAAUUUGAUCAUGAACUCUAGUGAAGGCGAGCUAUCGAUAUUUCAGAAAGCCAUUCCUCACACUUCUGAGCAGCAAACGGCCCAUCACUAAGAAGGCCAGACCCUUGUCAGCAUGAGCUGACUUAUAUGAAAUGAAACACUGACCUCACUGCUAGCUCCAGAGUUAAUCUCAGAAGAGAGAUUUUAUUGGAGAAAGCAGAGCUAUUGUUCCGAGUCUCUCUACAGGGCACAUGUUUAAGUUUUGCAUCCAAGAAAUGUGGAAUACUUAAAAUAGAGUUGCAUUUGAUAAAAACUAAAACCUGAAAAGCCUAACUAGGUAUUGUGAGUGUGGAUUUAUUAAUUUGAUUUGUUUUUCUUGGAUUUCUCAUCACACCCAUUCAGCAUCCUUUGCCUCGCUGGAGUUUUUCCUCCCUCUCUACCAGACAGGCUGGAGCAGAGUGAGCAGCACUGCCUCACUGCAGCUCCAGAAAAAGAAAACUAAACAUGUCUAUAUUCAUCUCUAACCAAAGGUCUGGACUGGUCCUGCCUUCUUUGCUGGUAAGAAUUUAAAUAGAAAUACAAGCACCUAAACAAGAAGAGUAAAAGGGAGUGGGUUUGGCUCUUGCUUCCUAGAGCAAGACUCGCAGAUGCCAUUUUCAUCAAGGGGUUCUUUGAACAACAGAAGGCAAAUGGAUUUAUCACAUGUGUGACACAUGAUGGGACAGCCACAUGAUGUCAUAACACAACAAAGGACACUGAGCAGUAAAGCCAGAAAGGAUUGUACUGAAACCUUGAAAGUAAUUAUGUUAUUAUGUUCUGUAUAACUCAGACCCGGGCAAAAGGUGUCUUUCUUAAAAAAUGGAAAAAUCAUCACAUCUUAACCUGAGGUCUGAGAAAGUUUCCACUACUCUCCUCCAUAGUUCAAGACCUUAAAAAAUAAAAAAUUACGAAAUUAAAUGAUCCUGACAUUUCUAAAAUAAAACAUGUUGAGACAAAAUCCCUUUCAUCCCCUCAAAUCUUUUGCAUGUAUUGUAAACAGGGAGGGGGACAGCAAGGCAGAGGAGGAAGGUAGGGGAACAAGAAACAGUUUUUACCAUAGUGGUCAUUUUUAACAACUAGAGCAUCAAGACUGUAAUAAGUGUUGCUCCAGUAAAACAGCAAGCAAUAAACUGUAAAACAGCAGAAUGUAUCAUGGCAAAUUGACGAAGGGGUAAUACAAAAUGCAUUUUCUUGGAGUAACCAGGUAAGUUAUCUCCUGAAGAAUGAUUGUUAAAGGAAGAGUUUCCAGAUGGUGGGAAGCAUUAGUGCAUGAAGCCUCCCUGCUCUAUUUUCCACCUAAAUUGAAGAAAUAAAAUAAAUCCUUAAUAAUGUAGUAAUUAAUUAUGCCUUUUUAUUUGAUUUUGUAUCAGCAUCUUUUAGGAGAAUGUGAAUAUUUGCACGGCUAUUACUAUCAGAUAAUCUAAAAGUAGUCAUACAAAAUCUACGUUAUCUAUGUAAAUGCCUCUGUAAGAUGGUUCUUUUUUUGGUAACAGGCUGCACAAUUGCAUGCUGUACUGUUCUGGUUCAGAAUGUUCCUCUUUCUCCAAUUAGAGAAGACCAGCCCCAUGUUGAUCACUUUAUCUUUGAUUUCCAAUGAUUUAAAAGAUUGGUUUGACCUGUCAUCAUUAAUAAACUUUGUGGUAUUGUCCUGAUUGUUUCUGAGUGAAGGAAGCCCUGAUAUUACAAACAAGGUUAUGAAUCAGCAAUUAUUAUUAAAGUCAGCUAUAUUUUUCCACAUUUUAUGCCUCAUGCAAUAAUGGGAAACGGGUGUACAUUGUGUGCAACUCAGAUGAGCUGAUACAGAACAACACGGUGGUGACAACUGACCCCAAAAUGGAUAAAAUAUCUACAUAAUCUGAAAUACUCUUGAAAAGUUUGGAAAGUGUAAGUUACCUCUUGUGGGCCUAGCCCUUUCUUUCUAGUGGUAUAAAGUGCUGAGAAAUUAUCGGAGCCAUUUCAGCUCCACGGAGCUGUGCUGCAGCAGUCGGAGGCAAGAGGCCUCCCCAGACGGCUCUCCAGCCCUCCGAGGGUGACUACUGCUUGCUGUCUCUUGGCCAAGUUAAUUUUACUUCUCCCAGGCAAGGGCUUUCCUGCCUGGAGAUUGCUUUGCCGCUUUAUAUCAUCCCCACUGGCUAGAGGGGUAUAGGGUUCACUGAAAGGAAAUGUUUCUUGAUAGCCAUGCUGCAUUUUCUCUGUACAUGGCUUCUAGGUCUAUUUGCACACACCAGGCUACAUCGCUUUCCUGCUGGUUUCUGCAGGAGAAUGAUUUCAAAAGCAGGACACUAAUUUCAUUUAUCUAUAUGGGCAUUAUUACUGUGUAAUUUUGGCUAGAUAUGUGUAAUCAUAUAUAUUUAUAUGUGCAUGUGUAUAUAUAAAAAUAUAUAUAAACCACCUUUCAGGUAUAUAUAUUCAAGGCUCUUAUUUUUUCCAUCAAUCAACCCACUCUACUUUCUGGAACACUUCACCUAAUUUUUGUUUGGCUGCUCAUAACUAGAUACUGUUGUUCCAGGAAGCAAACUACCAAACCUGUGUGAUGUUCUAGGCCUGGUUUCUACCCUUCUGGUACAUACUUCCAGCUCCACACUGCAAUGCCUCCUCACCUACAGUCCCUGGUGCCUCACCCCUCCUCUGCCCUCUGAAAAGCUGGGUCACAUCUACCUUCUACCAUCACCUCCUCGACUCUUCUCUUUACCUUCCUCAGGAUCCUCUCUGUCCUUUGCAGUCAGACUCUUUCCAUCACCUCUAUGAAUUCUGGCUUGUUUUUUCACUUUUAGACUACUUAUUUUUGGCAUGUCAUUUAAAUUUCUUUUGAGUCAUUGUUAUUAUCGAGCCAACAUUUAUAAAUAGCUCUAUGCAUUGCAGGUAUGGGAUAAUCAGGUCCUUUGAUUUUUGAGCAAUUUGGUUACUAAAUGAUAGCAAUAAAAAGCAUGUAAUCAUCAUGGGCGUUAGCCCAGGAAAUGUUUCUACCAUUAAAGCUUUCAGGAGGUAGAUGAUGAUUCUGGUAAAAAUUUAUGGCUCUUAAUAAUGAGUGUUAUGAUUUACCAUUACAACACUAAAUGGUGAGGUGUCAUAACAGCUAUGGGUAAUACCUGGGGGCGAUGCUUUUCAGAAAAAUAGUGAUCUAUUAAAAGGAAGAGAAAAAAAACCCUUUUGUGUACGUAAAGUGCACAAAAAAGUAAAAAGUGUAAAAAGUGCAUAAAAAUCCAUUGUGUACGUUACGGCUAGUGUGAUGUAAAAAGGCAUAGAAAGAGGCUAGUUAGCUUAUUCUUCCAGCUGCAAAGUAUGUGUGGAACUGUGUGGAUGCAUAGAUAUUAAUGUUUUCAGUUUCCUCAAGGAAACCCCAUGAACACUAGAAGCUGCCUGAACUGACACAGAAGAAAACAGCUUGUUAUACAAUCCCCUCAAAAUCAUAUGUAGUCUUAAAAGCAGAAAGUAAAAACAUCUGCAUAACUGUACACAUCUACAUGCACCACUGUGGGCAUUUAUUUUAGGCAGAUUUGCAGCAGCAAGAGGAAUCAUAACACAGGUCAUAAAUACCCACUGCAACAGCACGGCCCCCGCUGAGGUGAGUGGGUGUUGUGCCUCUGUCAGGUCUGGGAAAAUGGGGCUUUUCUGCUAUGCUCUAGCCUCUCUGAAUUCAGAGAGGGGUGCCUGUGUGUAAAUAAGUAUAUUUAUACCAUUCAGGGAUAUAUACAUAUGUAACAGCUGUAGUUUUAAAUAUUUCUGGAAAGAGCACCUGAAGUCCAGUGGCAGUCCCUACACUUAAUUUAGGGUACUGCUAAGCAGAGAAAUGCUUCACACUGUGGGUAGACCCAGGCAGGGCUGUGACCCUGCCUGCACAGGACUGCAGGGACCAAAACUACUCCUUGUACUCGCAGUCCCGCCAUGGGGCACGAUGUGAUGUGCCCAUUGUGCCCAGAGAUACACACAGUCCUUUGGGCAGCUCCCCGCUCUGGGAAGACCCGGGCAGGGUGGGGGACAGCCAGUGUCACAGUGUCACCUGUGCUGCACCAGGGCCGCUGCCACACCAGCACCUGCUCUGCCACCAACCAACCGCCUGUGCCGCUCUGGGGGCCCUGGCGUGACAAACACUUACCUAUGGCAGCAGCCUUCAAGGCUACUCCAGCAGAGAAAAUUACCAGAGAUAUAAAUCUUCAUAGGAUUAUGGCCUUUAAAGACAAGGCUAAGUUCAAGUAAUUAUUGUUGGGGUAAAUUUUUAAUUUGAUUUUCUACCAGGAUGCAGAUUACAAAACCCAUUUUAAAACAGAAAUCUAGCAUUCUGAAUUAAUUAAAUAUGCCCUCACCAAAAUAGCUGUUAAUGCACAGUUGGUGCUGCCACAAACCUCAUUCUAAAAUGUCUUAGGAAGUGCUCAUACUGAAACAAUUAAACUCCCUUAUUUAAGUAAUUUUUUACUAUGUUCCACUAUAAACUUUUAGUGUAAUUUUUGCCAUUAAUGAACUAUCAUUUGACUACUAGAGGCAGAGAGGUUUUAGAGUUAUUUUUUUGGUUAGAUUUUUUAGCACACACGAUUCGCAAUUUCUGAAGCAAAGUAGGAAGCCUAGCAUUGCAAAAAAAUCCCUUUCACUAGGGGUCUAAUCUUUCCCACAGUGCAAUCAAUUGGGACUUUGCUGUUGCACUGGAUAGUAGGAUUUGGCCCUAAAUAUUUUGGAUUUAACACGAGCAAGCUUGCUUUCUUGAGCAGUCCCAUGGAAGCUAAGUGCAUUGCCAGGAUCAGACCCACAGCAUGAAUAGUCACUACUUAGACGUCUGCUGUUCAGAAAUGACCCCUUCUGUCCUUCAAUAUGUAUAUGUGACAGACCCCUGGAACUACUAAUAAAUGGGGGGAGUCCCUCUGAGAUCAUGCUAUUGGAAACAUCAUCCAAGAGUCCACAUUGAGCAUUUAUACAAUAUUCUAGAAUCAUUUUGGCAAGCAUAUCCAGUAUUUCUCCAAUUGGAUCCUACACUUUAACUCUUUUAACCCACAUAGCAAAGCAAUUCCCAAAAGAUUUUAGAGAUUUUAGAGAAGAGAAAUCUACAAUCAUCAAAAUGUUAAUUUUGACAAUGACAAAGAGUACAUGCAUUAAAAAUGCAUCAGCCCUGUCAUUAAGGCAUUAUUCAGCAAAACCAUCUCAUCAUGCUUUACAGAAAGCAACUAGGAGAAACCAAGUAUAAAGAGCCAUUUGCUAAGUCCAAUACAUACUACACAAGGCACUCAACCAAGCAAAGAGCAAACAAAUCCAUGCUCUUCAUGUAAUGAAAUGGGAACUCUUAAUAAUAUUCUAAGUCAUGACUCAAUGGAAAAUGUAAACUAAAAGCUCUGACCGGAGGAAGGUUUGUAAUACAAACCUGGAUUUUAAAACAGUGUUUCCAUGGCUUUUCCUGCAGCACUUGUGAAUGUGGCUGUGUUACGGUGCUGAACUGACUAUGGCUUAGCAGCCGAUCAUGUCUUUUUAAAGCAUAAUUUAACAUUUUUUCUGAGGCUGUUGAACAUACUAAACUACAAGGAAAAAAAUCUGCUUUCAAGUGAUAUUAGAGAAACACAAGGAUCAGAGUGCUAGCAUCAAAGAUGUGUCUAAAGAAUAACAGAUCCACAUGUCUGUGUUACAACCAGCACUCCACUCACUACUAAAGGCAACAGACUAAGAUUGCUUUGGCAGUUGUUGGAAAUUAUUAAGUAGAACAUUGACAGCAUUUAAAUCUCUAAGCAAGAGUCAGAGAGAAAGACAUUCUCCAUCAGCCCACCUCGUGCUGUCAACAAUCACCCCACGCCUGGCUUGUCCACAUUAAAAAUCAUUCCUAGCCCC
This is a long non-coding RNA of Taeniopygia guttata (zebra finch), 9619 nucleotides long. Lineage: Eukaryota; Metazoa; Chordata; Aves; Passeriformes; Estrildidae. The record is from Ensembl.